ACGCUCGACACCUACGGGAGACAGCAGUGGGGAAUAUUGCACAAUGGGGGAAACCCUGAUGCAGCGACGCCGCGUGGAGGAAGAAGGUCUUCGGAUUGUAAACUCCUGUUGUUGGGGAAAAAGAGGAUGGUACCCAACAAGGAAGUGACGGCUAACUACGUGGCAGCAGCCGCGGUAAUCUGAGCGGGCUGGCAAGGC
RNAcentral lists this ribosomal RNA (198 nucleotides) under uncultured bacterium. Its description in RNAcentral is "partial 16S ribosomal RNA". It matches the Rfam family "Bacterial small subunit ribosomal RNA", at positions 328 to 539 of the family's 1533-position model. The record is from RNAcentral.